Molecule: ribosomal RNA, 485 nt
Filed under: uncultured bacterium
Lineage: Bacteria
Description: partial 16S ribosomal RNA
Rfam family: Bacterial small subunit ribosomal RNA
Source: RNAcentral
AUUGAACGCUGGCGGCAUGCCUUACACAUGCAAGUCGAACGGCAGCACGGGUGCUUGCACCUGGUGGCGAGUGGCGAACGGGUGAGUAAUACAUCGGAACAUGUCCUGUAGUGGGGGAUAGCCCGGCGAAAGCCGGAUUAAUACCGCAUACGAUCCACGGAUGAAAGCGGGGACCUUCGGGCCUCGCGCUAUAGGGUUGGCCGAUGGCUGAUUAGCUAGUUGGUGGGGUAAAGGCCUACCAAGGCGACGAUCAGUAGCUGGUCUGAGAGGACGACCAGCCACACUGGGGCUGAGACACGGCCCAGACUCCUACGGGAGGCAGCAGUGGGGAAUUUUGGACAAUGGGCGAAAGCCUGAUCCAGCAAUGCCGCGUGUGUGAAGAAGGACUUCGGGUUGUAAAGCACUUUUGUCCGGAAAGAAAUCCUUGACUCUAAUACAGUCGGGGGAUGACGGUACCGGAAGAAUAAGCACCGGCUAACUACGUG